GGAUGGUGUGUGACUCUUCCUUAUCGAUACCAGCUGGAGUAUACGAAUGUCUGAGCUACCUAGGUCAAGUCAUGCAUCCCACCGCUCCUUAGCAAUGCCCAGAUGUGUCAAAGGAUGCUACAAUAUGAAGUAAAGCAGAGGACAGUGUGUGGGUCUUCCGUACCAACGCCGGCAUUUGUAUAUACACGUAUGUUUGAGAUACGCCCAGUCAUGCAUCCCUCCACGCCUUAUCACUGCCCAAGCGCUGAUAUGUCAAGGAUGCACCCACCAACAAUUACAAGGGAUGAGUGACGCAGAGGAUGCCGUGUGACUCUUUGUGUGGUUUUGAGUUGUUCUUUGUAAAUGUCUGCACGCGUUACACAAAUGUUUGACCAUGCAUCCCUUGACACAUUCUCUCUCUCUCUCUCUCUCUCUCUCUCUCUCUCUCUCUCUCUCUCUCUCUCUCUCGUUCUUUCUAUCUCCCUUUCUUCUCUUAUGCCUCCCUUCUUUCCUCUUCUUUUUUUCUUUACUUUUCUCUCUCUCUCUCUCUCUCUCUCUCUCUCUCUCUCUCUCUCUCUCUCUCUCUCUCUCUCUCUC
Eriocheir sinensis (Chinese mitten crab) is the source of this 576-nucleotide long non-coding RNA. RefSeq lists it as uncharacterized. The transcript has 2 exons. Lineage: Eukaryota; Metazoa; Arthropoda; Malacostraca; Decapoda; Varunidae. The record is from RefSeq and is a predicted model, not a curated record.